UUAGCUAGGUUGACAUGGUACAAAGCCACAUUACCACGCUAAGUGUGGCUUUGAUUUUUAGAAACCGCCUCAUGCUAAGUCUAGGGAAUACAGUGGUUGAAUGGGGUGAGCGCUGACCUUUAGCUAUUCUGGAGGAACAUGUCACUUUCACUUAUUUUCUUUCAUGUUUUCCCACCCAGUGCUAUGGACUCUGAUCGCCCAACCAGAGCAAACCCAGAAGGACAACUCUCCAAGCCUUUCAAUCACUCCCACUAACCCGUAUUGUGGACACACUAUUGUGAGGCCUACUAAGGAUGUACUGCUGAUGACCUUUUGAAGGCCAGUGGACCUGCUCUGCAGACCCAGGCUCCUCUCCCAUGGAGCAUCCCAAGUCUGUCCUUAUGGGAAGAAGCAGGAGCCCUGUCUGGCUGUACCCCAAGCUGCUUUCUCUGGACCAAUGCUGUCAGCGAUAGAGCAAACAAGCCAAACAGCAGCUUGAAAAAUGCUUUCUACUUGGACAUACCCUCUUGCUACAGGGAACCCUUCCACCAUCAUGUGAAGAAGCCUGGUCUAGCCUGCUGGAGGAUGAGAGAUCACAUGGAAUGAGGCCACAAUCGUUCCAGCCAAAGCCCCAGUAAUAGAAUUAAGAUCAUCCAAGACCAUGGCAUCCCGCCUGAGAAGUUCAGAUGAGAAGGGCCACCUGAACAACCAACAGAAUCUUAAAAAGUAAAAAAUGAGUGUUGCCACUAUGCAUCUAUUAGAAUGGCAGAAAUCGAAGACACUGACAACAACAAAUGCUGGUGAGGAUGUGGAGCAACAGGAACUCUCACUCACUGAAGAUGGAAAUGCAAAAUAGUGCAGCUACUUUGGAAAACAGCUACUUUGGCUGUUUCUUACAACACUAAAUAUGCUAUUAUUAUAUGAUCCAGAAGUUUUGCUCCUUAGCACUUACCCAAAAAAGUUGAAAACUUAUGUACACACAAAAACCUGCACAUGGAUAUUCACAGCAGUUUUUGAUAUGGUUUGGCUCUGUGUCCCCACAGAAAUCUCAUCUUGUAUUUGUAUAAAUUUAUGGGGUACAAGAGUAAUUUUGUUAGCAUGCAUAGACAUGCAUAGACUGCAUAGCUCCCAUAAUUCCCACAUGUUGUGGGAGGGACCAGGUGGGAGGUGAUUGAAUCAUAGGGGCAGGUCUUUCCUGUCUUGUUCUUGUGAUAGUGAGUGGGUCUCACAAGAUCUGAUGGUUUUAAAUAACAGGAAUUUAUCUGCACAAGCUCUUUUAUUUUGCCUGCUGCCAUCCACAUAAGAUGUGACUUGCUCCUCCUUGCCUUCUGCCAUGAUUGUGAGGCCUCCCCAGCCAUGUGGAACUGUAAAUCCAAUUAAAUCUCUUUCUUUUGUAAAUUGCCAAAAAAAAAAAAAAA
Molecule: long non-coding RNA, 1397 nt
Filed under: Homo sapiens (human)
Lineage: Eukaryota; Metazoa; Chordata; Mammalia; Primates; Hominidae
Description: long independently transcribed non-coding RNA 652, transcript variant 2 (LINC00652)
Source: RNAcentral